UUUAGCUAAAACCAUAUAAUGUUUCUUUUUUAUUCAGUUAGCUUUCUGUCUACAUGUUGUCUUCUUGUGGAUGUCUUCUAUAUGCAAUUGCAGUGCAUUUAUAUGAACUACAGGAGGACUAUUUAAUUUAUAUAUAUAUAACUGUCCUAAUCUCUUGCUUCGUCAUAUAUAGAUGAAGUGACAUUGUAAUAGUUUUUUUUUUAUUGGUCGAUCACUAGUAAAAGAUGUUCAUAUAGCUACAUGUGAUUGUUAGGGAAAAAUUAGUAGUAAACUAUAACUACAGAAAGUUACAAAUUAGUGACAAAGUAUUAGUUAAUUUAAUUUGUAGCUAAUAUGUCACUAAACGUAGGUAUAUAAUGACGGAUAGUAACAAAAGAAAAGUGUAGCAAUUAUUGAUUUCUGGGUUUGUAUCGAUUUAGGGUUCUUCCAUGUGACCCCUUUUCGAUUACUUUUCUCUUGUAUCGAUUUAGGGUUUUUAUUAGGUAUAUAAUCUUCUUCUUCUUCUUCUUCCUCAAAAUCUAUUUCGUCGGCGAUUCUUUCCAACGGCAACGGCUAAACUUUCACAGAUCUCUGUAACAUUUUGUUCAAUGAUUUUGGUGAGGAUGGUGGCCGAUCAGCUAAAUCUUUGAAACCAAAAUUCAAUGCCUUUGUAAACCACUUAACAACUCGUACUGGCCAGCAAUUGCCACCUUUAAUGUCAUGUUUUAUGUAAUGGAUAAUUUUGAUGAUGAAUGCAAUAAAAAGUUAUAUAUAUAUUCAUUUAAAUAAA
Molecule: long non-coding RNA, 769 nt
Organism: Camelina sativa (false flax)
Lineage: Eukaryota; Viridiplantae; Streptophyta; Magnoliopsida; Brassicales; Brassicaceae
Source: RefSeq, a predicted model, not a curated record